Callithrix jacchus (white-tufted-ear marmoset) is the source of this 251-nucleotide non-coding RNA. Lineage: Eukaryota; Metazoa; Chordata; Mammalia; Primates; Cebidae. The record is from RefSeq and is a predicted model, not a curated record.
AUGUAUAGAAAUUCUAGUCACUUCAAGGUGGGUCACCAGCAGCUGUACUGGAGCCACCCGUGAAAAUUCGGCCAGGUUUCUUGCUCUUGUCAUGUCUGUUCAAACCAGCAGGGUCUGAUCCGGAAAUAUGGCCUCAAUAUGUGCCACCAGAGUUUCCACCAGUACUCAAAGGAUAUUGGUUUCAUUAAGCUGGACUAAAUGAUCUUCCUUCAAAGGACUAUCCAAGGCAUCUACCAUGAAAAACCAUAAUA